This 255-nucleotide long non-coding RNA is filed under the name Malus domestica (apple). RNAcentral's name for it is "long non-coding RNA (MDOM_LNC000950)". The record is from RNAcentral. Lineage: Eukaryota; Viridiplantae; Streptophyta; Magnoliopsida; Rosales; Rosaceae.
UGCUUGCGAAAAACCUUUUGUAUUCUUUUCUCUCUUUCUACUUAUAUUUAUAUUAUAUUUUAUGAUAAUCAAAUGAUCAAAUUACCCCUGCAUUAUUAGGCUGCUUUUGGAUUUAUUUUGUUAAGGGACAAUUUUAUCCUAAUAAUUUUGUCGAAUGACGUGACCCCAAAUUUUUGUCGGCAUGCGUAAACCUCCGAGAUAGAUAUAUGGGAUUAAGUUAAAUGAAGCAUGGUCAAAAUUUGAAUUUAAAAUCUC